This is a long non-coding RNA of Osmia bicornis bicornis, 591 nucleotides long. RefSeq lists it as uncharacterized. NCBI's taxonomy places the organism in Eukaryota, Metazoa, Arthropoda, Insecta, Hymenoptera, Megachilidae. The transcript has 5 exons. The record is from RefSeq and is a predicted model, not a curated record.
CGUGGCGAACCUCGAGAAAACGUAGAUCACCUUCAGCAUCAACACCAGCGUGCACCGUGAACGACUGCCGAUGCAUUUGUCGAGACGUUCUUGCUGCUUCUGGACUGGGUGCAGUGGUGGUGGGUACCAAACUUCCCCCGUGAUACCGGAAACCAGUACUCAAAGAAGAUUUGCUUGACCAUACGCUUCCCGUACGUUGCUUUGGUUGACGUGGAAACUGAAAUCGUCGAAUUUUCCGUCAACUUGAUCACUUGGUUUCAAUGAUUCAAGGAAAGUUUCAAAGAAUUGAAAAGUUGAUGAGAAAUUCUUCUAGGAUAAAUAAUUAUGCAUAAUAUUACAGUAACAAGGUAUCAACCACGUGCAAUGAUGGUUGCCCUUUACGAGGGGAAUUAUGGAAGAAAAGGCAAUGAUUGGAAUGGUCCAAGCAUCGGUGUUUUCUUGUCUGAUUUCUGCGACUGAGAGUGGAGACCGGCAUUUCUAUUAGAAUUAUUUUUACUUCCUGCCGAGUAAUAUUUGAAAUAAGUCGGAGGUCUCUACCUUAUCCAUUUGGGCAAGAAGACCAUCCUGACUGCUCUGUCUGGUUGUUUCCCG